GUCGCGCCAGCGGCAGCGCUCGGUAGCCAAGUCGGGCAUGGAUAAACGCUGAAUGCAUCUAAGCGUGAAGCCAGACCCAAGAUUAGUCCUGCCAGUGAGGCUCGUGGAAGACCACCACGUUGAUAGGCCAGAGGUGUAAGCGCAGUAAUGCGUUCAGCCGACUGGUACUAAAAGCCCCAUGGCUUGACCAUAAAAC
Molecule: ribosomal RNA, 196 nt
Filed under: Acidobacteriota bacterium
Lineage: Bacteria; Pseudomonadati; Acidobacteriota
Description: Acidobacteria bacterium partial 23S ribosomal RNA
Rfam family: Bacterial large subunit ribosomal RNA
Source: RNAcentral